Molecule: non-coding RNA, 54 nt
Organism: Salmo salar (Atlantic salmon)
Lineage: Eukaryota; Metazoa; Chordata; Actinopteri; Salmoniformes; Salmonidae
Source: Rfam
UUGAAAGAUAACUGUAAGUCGCUCUGGAUAAGAGCGUCUGCUAAAUGACUUAAA